GAAGUAUGAUAAAACAAGUGAAAUGGAAUUUCGUAUCUGUGCCAUUCUUUUCUUUUACAUUAUCUUCUCUAAAUUUCAUUUUUAAGCAAUUAAUAAUCCUCCAGACUUUAUAUUAAGUUACCUUACUAUUGUGGAGUAUACCACAGAUUAAAAUUGUAUUAGUUAAAAAUUUUAACUAAGAGGUAAGUAUAAGAUAAUGAUUAAAAGGAUGUAUUAUAGAAUAAAAUUGCUAGAUUUGUAAUCUGGCUUUAUGUUUACUAACAGUGUAAUCCAAGGGAACUUUCUAACCCUUAGUUUCUUUCUCUAUAAAGUAUGGAUAAUAAUUUUAUAGGCUUAUUGUGGGUGAUUGAAUGAGGUAAGUCAUACUUUUUAGUACAAUGCCUGAUACAUACUUAAUAUUCAAUAAACGUCAGCUAUUAUUAGCAAACGUUAGACUUUAUCCUAGAAAUAUGACAAAAAUUGGGUAAAUACCUACUUAUAGGUAAAUAUCUAGAGAACCCCGUGCCUACAUAUGGGUGUUUUCCUCUAUUGGGUUAUUGACAUAUCAGCUCCUUCUACAGGAAAAACUGUUGAUACUUAUGUUACAAUAAUUUAUUUCUUUAUUGUUUUUGCAGUAUUCCAGGAUAAUUUGAAGAUUUUUCGUAGUAUAAAAGGUGGCCGAGUUGCCACUGAUGAAUUGGUGGCUGUUUUGGAUAGCAUGGGCAUCCCUAUAAAUUUUGAAACAUUUCAGGAAGUGAUAAAACAUACAUAUAUUGACAGUAACCACAUGGUGGAUAUUGGAGAUAUUGUAUUUCUUUUGGACGCACUACAGAGCCAGUAUGAAGACAUUUAUUCAGAUUUGGAUGAAAUUUCUUCAAAGAAAAAGUUAUCAAAGAUAGCAAGAUACGCUCUACGAUAUAAGAAGAAAUACAGUUUACCUUCCAGCCUGACUGAAUCAUCAAUGUCUAAAAAUUUAAUUAAGAAAAUUCCCCAAUAUCAUGGAAAAAUUGUGGAAGAAAAUGAUUCUGAAAUUAAACAAUCAAAAAAUUUUGGGCAAAUAAGAAAAUUUCCAGGUGAACCGUACUCAAAGAAUGGCAUGAAUUUUAAAAAACAUUCAGAUAAAUCUGAGAAUUAUGACUCAAGGUCUAAACUACAAAACUUGAAGAGUAUUACAAACCUCAAAAAGUCUCUGGAUAAAACUGAUAUUUCUGAUAUCCCCAAACUUCAGCAACCUGAUGUGAGAAGGCAUUCCACUCUCCUAAAACAUGUUUCAUCUAAGGAAAAUACUUCAAUGAAUACCCUGGGUCAGUACCAUAUACAUAAGUCAGAAUCGAGGUCCUUGAGUUCUUUAGUUGUCACAGAAAUGGGCAGUAUUUAUCUGUCAUUAGAUGUAAGCAGUUAUCAGUCUCCUGAGUAACCAGCAGUUCUGAUGCCUAGGCCAAUGUAUGUGAUUUUACGGCUUUGAUGUUGGUGCCUUUUUAGAUGUCCCCUUUUGGGGGCGUUUAACCUUCUGUUAUAAGCUUAUUAAGUGAUUAAUUGGAGUAACUCAAAUUCCCUAGAAAGGUGAGGGCCUAUUUUCCUUUGAGAAUAUUUAUGAUUUAUUUAAAUGAAUAUGUAGAAAGUCUGAAAUUUUUAUUUAGAGUUCCCCCACUUUAAUUCAUAGUGCUUUACAUACUAUCUCUUAUGGAUGGAAAAUAAUAUGACAUAUCUAAUGUCACUAAAGCUUUUUGGUCUUCCUCAAAGAUGAACAAUACCUUUCCAACAAAUGUGUGUACUUCUUUUUGUGCUACUUCUAUCAAAAUACCUGUGUUUUAAAAGAAACUUACUGAAUUUUAUAUUGCAUUUAGUAUUUAAUAUGAUAGUUAUAAUGGAUGCCUCGUGAAAAUUAAGUGAUUCAUACACUAAUGUGUAAUUGAAACAAGUCUGUUGAAAAACAGGUAUGAUCUAUUAAGG
Molecule: long non-coding RNA, 1932 nt
Organism: Chinchilla lanigera (long-tailed chinchilla)
Lineage: Eukaryota; Metazoa; Chordata; Mammalia; Rodentia; Chinchillidae
Source: Ensembl